Molecule: ribosomal RNA, 301 nt
Filed under: uncultured bacterium
Lineage: Bacteria
Description: partial 16S ribosomal RNA
Rfam family: Bacterial small subunit ribosomal RNA
Source: RNAcentral
CAGUCGCCACGGUAAUACGUAGGUGGCAAGCGUUGUCCGGAAUUAUUGGGCGUAAAGGGCUCGCAGGCGGUUUCUUAAGUCUGAUGUGAAAGCCCCCGGCUCAACCGGGGAGGGUCAUUGGAAACUGGGAAACUUGAGUGCAGAAGAGGAGAGUGGAAUUCCACGUGUAGCGGUGAAAUGCGUAGAGAUGUGGAGGAACACCAGUGGCGAAGGCGACUCUCUGGUCUGUAACUGACGCUGAGGAGCGAGAGCGUGGGGAGCGAACAGGAUUAGAGACCCGCGUAGUCCCUGUCUCUUAUAC